AUACAACUUUCAGCAACGGAUCUCUUGGCUCUCGCAUCGAUGAAGAACGCAGCGAAAUGCGAUAAGUAAUGUGAAUUGCAGACCUCAGUGAAUCAUCGAAUCUUUGAACGCACCUUGCGCUCCUUGGUUUUAUUCCGAGGAGCAUGCCUGUUUG
RNAcentral lists this ribosomal RNA (154 nucleotides) under Termitomyces sp. TK. RNAcentral describes it as "5.8S ribosomal RNA". It matches the Rfam family "5.8S ribosomal RNA". From Rfam's summary of the family: 5.8S ribosomal RNA (5.8S rRNA) is a component of the large subunit of the eukaryotic ribosome. It is transcribed by RNA polymerase I as part of the 45S precursor that also contains 18S and 28S rRNA. The record is from RNAcentral. Lineage: Eukaryota; Fungi; Basidiomycota; Agaricomycetes; Agaricales; Lyophyllaceae.